UUUAUAAAGUUGUUUGAAGCGUCUAUGAUAAACAGAGAGCAAAUUAGAAUCCAAGGAAGUUGACAUGUCAUCACUUCAUUUUUUUGCGCCUGCGCAUAAAUCUGAGAAACGUGAGUUUUGUCUUCAUUGUUUAUCUCGACAUAGGAUAGGUUGUGUGAAAAUAUUACUGAUGUUUAACGUUAAAAAUGGACCAAAAGAUUAAUGCUAAACAACAUUUGACAUGUUUGAAUGAACAUAAAUAGAUUAUUUACUAGGUUUUUUUAGCUUUUCGGCGUGAUUUUACAGUCCCCCACCACGUUUUGUGGGAGCAUAAUGAACGCUAAGUACUUGGUGUUAUUUGGACAUAAAUUAUGAACUUUGUCAAAAGAAACCACAUUUGUUCCGGACCUGUGAUGCCUUCCGGACCUGGGAUGCCAGUCUUCUGAUGGAGAUAAUCAAAGAUCUCUUGAUCCAUCCUCUGGCUGCAUUUUAAGUACAUAGGUUCCACAAGGUAGGGGUGUACCCCCUGCUACUCCUCAGUAAGAGCAAGAAGGAAACGUUUUGUCGUCAACUGCAGUGUCCUCACAGUGGUAUGAUGAAUCAGACCUCAAUGGCAGCAAUCCAAAGGUUGUUGGUGGCAAUUGUGAAAGGUUGAACCCCCGAUAUCCCCCACCGCCCAGGAGACCAGCUACACCCGGAUCCCCAACCAGGUUGAACCCCCGAAAACCCCCACCGCCCAGGAGACCAGCUACACCCAAACCGAACCAAAGAAGACGGGAAGAAAGUCCUGUCACCCUCAAAAAACCAUCUAACCCGCUGAGCAUGACAGUCAACCCCCAACCAAGGAAGUAGAAAUAUGACUACAUGCAAAAAGUGUCCAGUGCAUCCGGAGCAAAUGAUUUUCCCUAUUCUCAAAAUUCUUGCCAAUAGAACUUCAAAGGAGGGUCAGGAGCAGAAAGUGAAGUGGAAGCCGUGCUCUGGAUGAAGAUGAGUAUACACGUUCCCGCUGCGUUUUGGUCUGAUCCUUACGACACCCGUUACAGAACUACCCACCACCAAAGGACCAAGCAGCGGAGAAAGGAGCAGCAGGUGGACUACAGGGAGUCGUGGACAUGGGAGGAAAUUCUGGACGGGGAUGGACCAUGGCACCAGGCUGGUGAACACCGUCGCCCACCGGAACAGGUGGAGGCAGCCAGGAGAGCGGAGAUACGAGAGGCUGAAGAGGACCGGGAACGCUACAGGGGAACACGGCUGGCAAGGAAGCCGGAGAGGCAGCCCCAAGACAUUUUUUGGGGGGGGGCACACGGGGAGUGUGGCUAAGUCAGGUCGUAGACCUAAGCCAAUUCCCUGUGCUUAUUAUGGGGGGCGUAUGGAGUGGAGAGCGCCGGAGUAUGCGGAAGUGCGCAC
Molecule: long non-coding RNA, 1386 nt
Filed under: Salmo salar (Atlantic salmon)
Lineage: Eukaryota; Metazoa; Chordata; Actinopteri; Salmoniformes; Salmonidae
Description: lncRNA (ENSSSAG00000101808.1)
Source: RNAcentral